RNAcentral lists this long non-coding RNA (6540 nucleotides) under Marmota monax (woodchuck). The record is from RNAcentral. Lineage: Eukaryota; Metazoa; Chordata; Mammalia; Rodentia; Sciuridae.
CCAGGGGAGACCAGGCCCAGGCAGGAAUAGAAGGAAUAGAGUCGUGAUUGGUGCAGAUGGACGUCUGCUCCUCUGAGAACCUUUGGUUUCCUAAUGACAAUGAGGCUGGGUUGUGUGGGGGUGAGCGUGGGGUUAUGAAGAGGGAAGAGAAAGUAUAAGGUCAACAUCUUGGAAAACAGGAAAAUAAGCUUAUUGGAGAGAUAUACUUGAAUCUCCCAGCUGCAUUGAAUGACCAUUGAAGUUCAUGGUCUUUCUUCCCAAAUGAACCCCAUCAGCGUCCUUGUGGGAUUCUCUCCCACAUCAUUCGGUGGCUCAGGUGCUGGCAAGGUAAGGCUGAUGAUGGAGCCAGACCCAGAAAUGAUUUCCUCAGACAAGGGGAGACAGUAACAGGAAGGCUGAGGAUGUUUGCAGAGUCUUUUGAGAUGGUCAUUCAGUGUAAGCUAAUGAAGGAGGACACUGAGACAAAAUUGGUGAUGAUGUCAAUGGACUAGAGGAUGAGAUGAGGUCUAGGAACCCUUGCAAAGGGAGCCUGGUGGUCCAAGGUGUGUCCAUGGUGAUGGGAGCUAAGGGGGAGGAGCUCAUGUCUGUGAAGGUGAAGACAAAUGGGUCUCAGGUGUGUGAUCAAUACCAGCAUUGCAAUCUCCAGGAGGAAUCCCCAGUGAAUGGGGCAAUGUGGCACAGGACAUUCAGACACUUGAGCCAUAACAGAAUCACUCUAUAAUUUUUUAACAUAUGGCUCAGAGACAACCCACCUCUAUGAAGUAAAUCCCAUACGAGUAUCCAAAGGAACCCAAAAGUAUUUGACUCCCAACUCCACCCUCUUUCCAUUAUACCAAAGGGCUUCUGUAAGUUUUAAUGCAGAAAAUUUAAGAACCAUAUGAUAAAAUUUGCUGUUCAUCUCCAGAACGUCCUCAGAGGAGAUGGUGAUACCCCUUAACCGGCAAGACUAAUCAGAAAUAUCUGGGGAGUUUUUCCUAAAUAUGCAAGCCAUGGCUGAGCCUAUACCCAAUGACUUAGAGUCUCAUGGGGUAGGGCUCAGACCUGUGAAUCCGAUACACAAGGCCAUUCAGAACCAGUGUCCCCGUAUUAUCAGUAUAAAACCUCACUGUCUGUAAAGUGUGAAUCAUUCUGGUGUCCCGAGAAGGAAUAUACCUAGGGAGCAACAUUGUCAACACCCAUUGUGUUUUUCUGCCCAUCCCUAAGGUUCUGGAAGUUUCUGCCUGAGUGUCCUGCACAGCGACUCACCCCACCUGGGUCUGUGCUGAGAGGCAUGUUGUUCUGGUCAGACUCCUGUGCCAUCAGAAGAUGCUUAAUAUUUGCUUAUCUUGCUCAAACAUUUGCUAAAAUAUCAGUUUUUAUCAAUUGAUUUCUAUAUUUUGUUUAUCAGUAACAUCCCAGGCAAAAGUUGUAGUUCAGCUUUUCAUCUCUUGGGGAAAAAAAAGCCUGAGAGAAACUACUAAAAGGAGGAAAGAUGUGUUUUGACUCGUGGUUUCAGAGAUUGUAGUUCAUGGUCAGGUGGCUCCUAAUGGCUCCUAAUUGCUUUGGGCCGGAGACAAGGCAGAAUAUCAAAGUGGAAGGGGCUCAGGGGGGCAGAAAAGCCCACCUCAUGGUGACCAGGAAGCUAAGAGAGCAAGAGGAAGGGGCUGGAACAAGAGAAAGUUCCCCAAGGCCAGCCCCCAAGUACCCAAUCCUUCAAUUAUGUCCCACCCCCUACUGUCUUUGCCAUCUCCCAAUAAUGACAUCACAUUGUGGAUCCAUCAAUGCAUUGAUCCAUUGAUAACAUCACCUUCGUGAUCCAAUCACUUCCCAAAGCCCCACCGCUGAAUGUUGCUGCAUCAGAACCCAGCCUUCCACACAUGAGCCUCUGGGGGACAUUCCAGAUCUGAACCCUAACAAGUUCAUUUAUUGCCAAAUUUAUUACUUCAGGACUGCCAAUAUUAUGGGAGUCUCUCUCUAUUUUCUCUCUCAUCCUCUCCUUCCCUGUCUCUCUCGCUCUGUUUUCUUUCUCUGCUUCUUUCCCUCUCUGUCUCUGUCUUUUCUGUGCAUACACACACACACACACACACACACACAGAUGCUAAAAACAGCUUUCUAGCUUUGUGCAUGGGCCCAAGGUACCCUCUGAGGGAUGACUGAGAGGGACUCUCCACUGGGCAGUACCAAGGCCUUAUGAUCAUUGUUCACUCCUCCAUUACCCCCAACUCCACACCCAACCAGUACAGACAGGAUUAUCUGACCAUGCCACUGUAAUAUUUAUUUCACCUUCAUCUACCUCCAGAAGGUGCUGAAACUGACCCCAGAGAACUAUAUCAGGAUCUUGGGGGUCAGGGGUGAGGAAAUUGCUUAAACCUUCCUUGUUCUCAAAAGUUCUGUUCACACCGUCCAUCUUCCACUAUGUUCUACAUUGUUCCUCUAUGUUAGUUAGGUUUUCAUCACUGUGACCAAAACACCAGACGUGAGCAACUUAGAGGAGGAAAAGGUUCUCCAACUCAAGUGUUCUCUCAAGUCAAGGCAGGGCUUGUUGAAUCAAAUUGGUGUCCGAUGACUUCCUGCAUUUCUUCUGAUUCAAUCCAUCUUGGGUGGGGUCCAAAACUUGGCAUCUCAUUUCCAGACGAUGCAGGUGCUCCUUUUGCAGGGACCAUGCUUUGAGAAUUCUGACCUCAGGACAUCAGCAGACAGCCUGCAGAUUGCCUUCUGAAAGUCAGCACUAAUGUAAAACUCAGCCAUUCCUCUGCCUGGGAAGCUGUCACUCUCUUCAUCCUCAGGCACUGGAAAGUGGCUUCAGGAGCCUCAGCUGUGUGCACAAAGACUGUGUUUGCUCUCUUGGCGUUCACAGGGCCUGGUACAAUGAUUUCAGUGUACUAGAUGCUCAAAAAGAUUGUUGCUUGUGGAAUGAAAAUAAGAUGAAAGGCUAUAUUGCUAUGUUAGAUUGUUUCCAACCAUGUUAAAAUGUGACAAAAAUAUGAAGGAUUUAGGUAAACUGCUCUACUCAGAGAAGGACUCUAUCUAAUGUGGGGAACUCAUUUGUAUUAUACUGUAACUGAUUUUCCUCAGUCACACACUUGAAGGAAAUCUGCCUUUUAAGUCAGUGUCCAGUUUGCUCAAGUCACACUUCGGUCUUCCAGAAGUUAUGACACUACAAAAGGAGCCCUUGCCCAUCAAAUUGUCUCUUAGAGACUUGAGGACCAAAAAAAAAAUAUGGAAAGUGAUAGGAUUUCAUGCAAGGCAUCCCCAGUCCAGGCAAAAACACAUCUUAAGGCUGUAAGAAUGAAAUAGGGCAGAUGUGACACAUCCAGAAACACCUUGGUCACAGGAUCCCUGCUCGAGCUGAUUUCUCCCUCCAGGCAAAUGGCCGGAAGCAAGGCCAAGACAGGGUUGCUUAUGAGUCUCAGCACAGACUGAGCUUGAGGGCACCAGGAAGCCACGGUUCACCUUACUUAGAAAAUAACAGGUGAGAAAUUAAAAUAUUUUCCAAACUAUUUUGAAUAAGAGAAAGAAAACUCUCAUUGAUUUCAAAGCAUGACUCCCCUUUUUUUUCUAAUUUUGAGAGAAAGUGAACACAGCCACAGAGUGAAUAGACUGCUCCCUGCCUCCCCACACAGGCGUGUGUCCAAAUGUUAAUUCGAACUGACAAAACACUCCGGGCACUUUAAUUUUAUUUCAUAACGAAAAAGCAAACUUAACUUCUAAGCGCUUUUAUUCCAAGUUUAAUGGCUUACAUUCCCGAGGUCAGCAAGCAGAUGGAGUCGAAGACGAGAAUAUAUAAUUGCAGAUUAUGAAACUGCAAAAUUAAUACUACUUUGUUAAUGUCAAGAUAGGACUGGAGAGCUGGGAGGGAUUUUCAAGAUUGUUGAUCCUCAACCUCAUCACACAAAUGAGGACACUGAGGCUGGUGACACCGCAUGUCCUUCCUCCUGGUGACAGAGACAGUCGGGGACAGGGCUGCAUCAGAUGCCAUCUUCUGGCAUGUGAAGCAGCCCUCCCACCUCCAUGCACUACCCUGUCAAUUCCUUACCCAAGGCAGGUCCUAUGCGCUCCUCAGUGCUCUACGUCCUAGUGCAGAGGCCGUCAUGCCAUAAGAACCCUCAAGUUCCUUAGCAUCUGGCUCCUCUAUCUGUGGCUCAGCCAUUUGUAGGAGGCUGCCCAAAUCUACAUGGUCAACCAGCAAAUUCCAGCCAGGAGGGAAGGGAAGGGAGAAUGGAAAGGGGAGUGCUGUUUUGAACAACCAAAAAAAUGGAAAGGGGAGUGCAUGCCUUGGCUGUGUGGGCACUCCCUGGAAGUUGUACACGCAUUUCCCUGGACAGCAUGUGCAGACGUCUAGGACAUAGCCUUCUAUACCUUAGGAAAAACAAAAGUCAUUGUGAUUUUGGCUUCAGUUGACUCUCUUGCCAUCCAAAUAUCUAUGCCUACCCUUCUUAUCACAUGAAGUAUGCAUCCAUCUCUACCCUCGGGAGAUGAUCCCCAAGACCCAUAUGGCUACUUCAUGAUGUCACAUGAAACACACUCUUACACUCUUCUCUGCAAGACCCAGUCUUGCUCCUCUCCAUCCAGCAAAUAUAAAACUGAAAGAAAAAUUUUCAGUCCAGCCAUCAGAGUCAACAUUCAAUGGGGGAUAGGACUAGAAGCUUCAGUAAAAAGCAGACAAGCCAGCUCUCUCAGUGGAAGACAAACGGCAGUGGCAGGUCCUUGCUAGAGAAGGACCCAGAAGUAGAAUAAGCCUCUUGGUGACUCUGUCUGGUGGCCCCAGCAGAGUUCUCUGGAAGAUCCUUGUUCACUGACCUCCACGGCCUCCAACUUUGUCCACCAGCCUUUGAGGUCCAGCUGAGGACAAAUGGCCUCUGCCACUCACCUCACUGUAGGGGUCCCCAGUCACAUGCUUCUCCACAUGGCUUCCCGGGCAACAUGAUUUCCUCAAAAACUUAGCAGACACUUGAUCAUUUAAACUGAAAAAUUCUGAAAAAAUGCAGCAUUUUAAUUUGCUGUCUUCUGUCCUCUGUCAAAAUUCCUCUUACGUUCAUGGCAACUCUUUUGACAGCAUUCCCAAUUUUCUGCUCAUGUCCACUAAUGUUGCUCAGGGCAGGUCCUACCUCCCAAGAUACUGCCAGUGACAAGGUCAUCAAACACUUUGUCACUGUAUAACGAGGGUCAACACUUCUUACCCACCAGAAUCUGUGUCUUUGCCACCCACUGUCCAAGUGCUUUGUCUCAGCCAGCAACAUCAAUCUGCCCAGCUGGAUUGUUGCAAACACAACUUGCAUCGUUCCCCUCCCAGGUGCCCGACUUGGCUGCGUACAUUCAGCUGUGCAUGACAGUGAUCCAAAUUCACAGUGGCCUAAGCACAAAGGGAGUCCACUUAUUUCUCACAUGAACAACUGACUGUGACUGUGCUCCCCAAUGUCAUCAGGCACCUGUCCCCUGCCCCCCACUGCUGCUUUGCCAUGUCUUGCUGAUUUUCUGGUCUUUGUUGUUCAGUGUUUCUCACCACCAGAUCUGCUUUCCAACCAGCAGAAAGACAGACAGAGCCCUGGACCUCCCUUACCUGUGAAGGCCCAACUUGGAGGUUUCACACUCUUCUUCUGUCCAAUCCCAUAACUCAGAAUUUAACUCAGAAAUAAACUGAUUUUUCUGAAUGGUAUCAUGCCCAUAUAAGGGUUUUUAUUGCACUUGUGAAGAAGUUGAUACUGUGGAAGAAGAGUGAUCUUUGAAGCACUAUGGAAUUAACUGUGUCCUUUUUGUUGUUGUUGUCCAAUAUAAAAAUCUAGAAAACUAUCUUUAAUGAGUUUUUUAGGUACAAUUGCAGUAUGGCUGAACUGUUUGCCUCUGAUCUUAUCAGUGACACUGCCCAGAAGAAAUGCAUAGGAAAUUCCUCAUCCGAAGCUUUAGGGCAACCUGAACCUUGGCUGUGGGGGAUCUUCCCUCAGCUCCCAAACAAGGGCCCCCACCCUGGAUUGGGCCAGAGCAACACUUCCUCAGGCCCAAGUGUAUUAAUUUGGUAAGCCAGUCUACAGUACCCGCUCAGUUUCUCUUUCAUGCAGAUCCCAGUAAUGAUUUACACCCUCAUCUACACUGAGUUCCUUGUGACAGGAGAGGGACCCAAAGCAUGGACUGAGUGAAGCCAGAAAGAGGCCUGCAUUUGUGCUCUCAUGUUUUAGGCAUGAGGCCAGAAGGUAUGCAUAGGAAAUGAGAGAGGUAUGCAUCUCAUCUUCAUGAGAUUCGCAAGCACUAAGAGAGCGGGUCUACGCCCAGGGAAUCGGGGUGCACAAUUACAGAAAAUAGCUCAUCCCUUUUCUAGAAGGCUAGAAAAAUCUUAUGCUGAUAGAUGUGCAUUGUGUUUAUGGGAUGGGCUCUGGUUUUCCUGCCCACCUGAAGACCACUCUCUGUUGACUCAGUACCCCUGGUCCCCAGUGGCAGCAGUGUGACUGCUUGGUGUUGUUUGCUAACAGCAGACACAGACGAGUAGGAACCAGAACAAGACAGGCAGAGGAGACCAGGCAGGAGAGGCAGGGCAGCCCGCUAACUGGGCUGGUUGGCAUGUGCAAG